UACGAAGGGUGCAAGCGUUACUCGGAAUUACUGGGCGUAAAGCGUGCGUAGGUGGUUCGUUAAGUCUGAUGUGAAAGCCCUGGGCUCAACCUGGGAAUGGCAUUGGAUACUGGCGAUCUAGAGUGCGGUAGAGGGGUGUGGAAUUCCCGGUGUAGCAGUGAAAUGCGUAGAUAUCGGGAGGAACAUCUGUGGCGAAGGCGACACCCUGGACCAGCACUGACACUGAGGCACGAAAGCGUGGGUAGCAAACAGG
Molecule: ribosomal RNA, 253 nt
Filed under: uncultured bacterium
Lineage: Bacteria
Description: partial 16S ribosomal RNA
Rfam family: Bacterial small subunit ribosomal RNA
Source: RNAcentral